RNAcentral lists this ribosomal RNA (521 nucleotides) under Candida tropicalis. Its description in RNAcentral is "eukaryotic LSU rRNA". It matches the Rfam family "Eukaryotic large subunit ribosomal RNA", at positions 119 to 656 of the family's 3401-position model. The record is from RNAcentral. Lineage: Eukaryota; Fungi; Ascomycota; Pichiomycetes; Serinales; Debaryomycetaceae.
AAUCUGGCUCUUUCAGAGUCCGAGUUGUAAUUUGAAGAAGGUAUCUUUGGGUCUGGCUCUUGUCUAUGUUUCUUGGAACAGAACGUCACAGAGGGUGAGAAUCCCGUGCGAUGAGAUGAUCCAGGCCUAUGUAAAGUUCCUUCGAAGAGUCGAGUUGUUUGGGAAUGCAGCUCUAAGUGGGUGGUAAAUUCCAUCUAAAGCUAAAUAUUGGCGAGAGACCGAUAGCGAACAAGUACAGUGAUGGAAAGAUGAAAAGAACUUUGAAAAGAGAGUGAAAAAGUACGUGAAAUUGUUGAAAGGGAAGGGCUUGAGAUCAGACUUGGUAUUUUGUAUGUUACUUCUUCGGGGGUGGCCUCUACAGUUUAUCGGGCCAGCAUCAGUUUGGGCGGUAGGAGAAUUGCGUUGGAAUGUGGCACGGCCUCGGUUGUGUGUUAUAGCCUUCGUCGAUACUGCCAGCCUAGACUGAGGACUGCGGUUUAUACCUAGGAUGUUGGCAUAAUGAUCUUAAGUCGCCCGUCUUG